CAGAAAGGCUCAGCAGUGCCCACUUACAGCUGUUUCUGAAGGGCUGGUGCUAAGCUGGACCUUUCUCAGCUGUAUUCCUUCAGAGUCCUGGCCCUGUGCCUCACAGGUUGUCCUGCACACUGCAGAGGAAUUCUAUGGGAUUUGUUUAGGAGUUUGGAUUCCAAGCAGUUAAAAAAUGGUGCAAUGCUCCGUCUUGCAGAACUUAAAGUUUUUUGUUCUUGAAUAUGACUCUGAACUGCUGUUGGCCCCUAGGAACAUACCAGCUAAGAAACUGCAGUUUAGAAUUGCAAAUCAAUUGCAAAUCAUUAAUUACUCAUUCUCUUUGCUGCUUUAUCAGGAAGACUUGAUGGUACUUGGUAGUGCAGGACCCAAACAGAGACCAAUCAUAGUUUUAUUUCCUGAUUAAGUCUCUGUUCCUGUGUGCUGGAAAUCCAUAAACCAAUGUACUCUCUUCUUUAUCCUACCACAGGCUCUCCAAUUCUGAGCAUGGUAAAUCCAUCCCAGGUGAUUUAACUGGUAGAGGGUGUACCAAGACCUGGGUGCUCCAGGUGGCACUUUAAGGUAGAAGUAAUGUUUUUACUCAGUAUAGGUUGUUCUGAAAGUGAAGAUUAUCUUUGUACAUAAUCUUGCAAAAGUACCACAGAAUCAGUUCUAGCCUACUGUAUUUACGAGCCUGCACAAUAGGAGCUGUGUCAAGUGGAAAACAUUACUGAUGGGAAAGAUUCAUCCACCAAUAUUUGAACUAACAAGGAUUUUUACUGUAAGAAAGAGGGUGCUAGAAAGAGGGUACUGCAAGAAAGAGGGUCCAGCAUAACAGGAUUAUUUCAGCAAGUCCUAUUUCUCCCCACUAUGGUGAGAUCCAAUACCCUGCAGUCACUGCUAAUAUACACCUCAUUUUUGUCUCCAGACUGCCUCUGGGGCAGGUCUUAGAUAUGCUGGGGCAGGUGCCUAAAUCCCAAAAGCAGUUCUUCCUCCACCAUAAUGAUAAUUAUGCCUCGCUAAUAUUCAAAAUAUUGAUCUUUAAGCCCUUCCAAAUGCUUUAGAUAAAUGAUCAGUAAUGUUUGUACACCAUUUUUAGUGUGGUCCUUGUAUUAAUAGCCAAUAUGUUCUUUCAGCUACAGCUCCCGUGAGUCAGACUUGUCCAGUAACCAAAGGCAGAAUACAGGCAGUACAGUACAGCACAAAGCAAAUGCUGUUAGAGGUCACACCAAGGAUAACGCAGGACAAACAAUUGGCUCAGGAGCUGGAGAAAAGCAUCAUGAAAAACAACCAAGUGUGAACAGGGGAAGUGGGUUAGAUGUUGCAGCAUCUCUACAUAGAAGUUGCCAGCUAAGUGCAUUUUUUUCCUGGAGACCUGCUAAAACCUAACACGACAGUAUGUUCCUUCUGUGUGAGAUGAAACAGCGACACUGCCAGUAGGAAUAUGUCAACAUGGUAAAUUUUCGCCUCUCUGGAAGUGGGCAGCUUGAUGAUUGCAGCCUGACUGUGACACCAAGGAACAUUACUGUCGGCUCUGCUACUUCAGACCAGAGAGGAAAUGUAAAGACUCUUCCCAAGGCUGACAGUGCUGUUCCUGUCUUUUGUGAUAACCUCUACACAACAGAUUGGUAUAUGACAUGAGGAAGAUUCUGCUUUUGCCCAGCAUCACAGAGAAAAUGACUGUGGAAGAAGUCACCUUCCUCCUGACAAUGCCAUCUGCAUGACCAUACAUCUACACGCCCAACCUAAGCCCUCCCUCUCCCCCCAGGGACUUUACAAAUAUCAACCUGGGUUAAGCCAGGGUUCGUUAGGAGGGGGCUGAGGACAUCGUCAGUACAGCCCAAUGUCCUGUGGGGCCAUGAGGCAUGUGUGAAGCUUUGCUGGGAAGUCCACAAGGCAAGUCAGGGCUAUGAUCAAGGCCAUCAACAUCAAAGGCCAGGUGCAGUCAGAACAGCAAGGUGCCUCCAGCAGGUGGGGGCCUGAGCUAUGUGCAGGUCCUACCAUAGGUGAGGAGCCAGAGGAGGUUGGUCAUGACCCUUUCUUACAGCGUGGCUGUUUUCUGUGACGCUGGAUCCCAGGUUAAAUACCCGCACUAGAUCAGAACAGACCUUGAUUACAAAUUCUUAGAACUUGGAGGAGAAUCAUAGAAUCAUAGAAUCACAAGGUUGGAAACGACCUAUAAGAUCAUCUAGUCCAACUGUCUUCAC
Molecule: long non-coding RNA, 2186 nt
Organism: Phasianus colchicus (ring-necked pheasant)
Lineage: Eukaryota; Metazoa; Chordata; Aves; Galliformes; Phasianidae
Source: RefSeq, a predicted model, not a curated record